CAACCAUUCCACAAGUCUCUAGGAAGUUCCAAAUUUUUCCACGUUUCUGUCUUUUUCUGAGCACUCCAAAUUGUUAAAGCCUCUGCCUGUUACCCAGUUCCAAAGUCAUUUUCCUUAUUGUCUUGGCUAUUAGCAUUCAGCUCGUCUUUACUUAUGAUGCAGAUUUCUGCAGCAGGCUUGAAUUCCUCCCCAGAAAAUGGGUUUUUCAUUUCUACCACAGGGUCAGGCUGCAAAUUUUUCAAACCUUUUCCAGUUGUCUUUAUAGCAGUGCCCCACUCCCAGUACCAAUUCUCUGUAUUAGUCUGUUUUUACAUUGAUAUAAAGGUACUCCCUAAUAAAUUAGAAUAGGAUAAAUAUGAACAUUUAGAAGACUGGAUUGUUAUAAAUUGUUUUAUUAACAUGCAUGUGUAGAUGGAUAUUUUCAGGACCUAGAAAUGAUGGGGGGGAGGGUUAUGCAAUAAGUUAAAUUAUAAUAAAAAAUCAUUUGGGCACAAUUUGAACAAAAAUGCUACUAUUCACUUAUCAUUAUGUAAUGCCUAAGGUUCUUGCCUAGCCACGCCAAAGAAUUUGUGUGGCAGCUGACCGUGGUGAGGGAUAGAGACACAGACCGAGAGAGAAAAAGGCUGUAGGCUUUAUUGAGCAGAUUGAAAGGACAAAGCUUCCACAGUGUGGAAGGGGUCCCGAGCGGGUAGCCAGAGUUAGAUUAUGUGACUGCCUUUUAAACUCUUUAAGGCCGGAAAUACGUGUGGCGAGAUGUUACCAGAGCGAGAAACAAAGGCAAUUAACCGUUUGUAACAUGUCUUAGAUCUUGAGGAAAACUGGAAUUGCAACUUAGGUUUUAUCUACUUUAUGAACUUGCAGCAGCAUGGCAAAGGAGACGGGAUCUUACAGGACUUUGUUACAAAGUAUGUUUUCAAGGAAUUGGAAUUGGGAGGAUAGAUAAGGUCCGCUGGUCACAGAAAAACAGGCAGUUAACGUUCCUUUUACUUUAGUUUCGGGGGAGGCGGAAGAGAAAGAGAGAGAGAGGACACAGGGAAACUUACAGCAAAAGUUUCGAUGUUUAUAGCUUUCUUGGGGAAGAAAACACAUGCACAGAUCCUGGUGUUAGGAAUAUUUUAAGCAUGUAUCUUCAAUAUUAUUCAUCCAGGACCGAAGUAAGUCCUGAUGCAGGAAAUGAGUGACUUUCACAGCUUUCUGAGCCCCUACUCAACCCAGGAAGUCCAGCUGGCACCUCCUCUGGAUCACAAGCUUAACUGAGAAACUUUCUUCUACUUUAUAACAAGCAAGAAGUUAUGUGCUUUGGACUCCACAAUUUGAGAGCUUCUUGCCCUUCUCCAGGUGCACUGCUCCUCACAAUGAAAGAAAUGGGUGAAAGAGGAAAGAGCAUGACCACCUGGAGCCCAUCAUCCCCCUUCUACAACAAAUUCUAGUGAUCCAGAACCCCAGGAAUCCCUGCCCCAUAAAUACUCUUGCUUAAAUCAAAGGAUAUCAUGAGCCAUUUUUUUUCCAUUUUCAUUCUUCCAUGAAUGUUCUAUGCACAUUCAUGCACACGUGCAGGUUUGAGAAGUGCCAAAAAACAGCUGUUUGGAGUAAAGGAGAUGAACGAACAACAUGUUUGCAGGCAAAGGUACUCACCGCUACCCUGCGUUCCUGCAUAGACUUCCAUCAGAGAGAACAUGUUAGGAAAGUUAAAUUGCAGUAAGCACAUCACAGCAAUGACGAGGACAGGUACUUUUCUGGGAAACACUGGAAGACAGCUGGAGAGGAUUCUGCUGCUGUGAAAGCACCUAAAGCCUCCUUGACUCAGCCUCACAUCCUAUCUUCAAGAAAACAUCAUAUGGUUAUUAUAUAAACCUCUUACGGGAUUUCUAAGGUUAAUUUCAAUAUAUAAAUGGCUACUCAACAGAAUCAAGGUAAUUAGAGUUUGCUUAUAUUCAAAAAGAGUUGCAAAAUGUCUCCUAGAAAACAGAAUUAACUAUAAGAACCUGAAAUUUGCAUUUCAUAACUUUAAGGAGUUUAAAUUAUCAAGAUUAAUAUUGCACUAAAAAGUUUGUGCAUUCAUGCGUGAUCGAAUAUGAAAACACAUGACCUGUGAACUGAGCAAAAGGUAUGCUUUCUGAAGCAUAUACUCUGUGUGAUUAGGUCACUGAUGCCAUUGAAAUAUGUAGAUUUAAUGUUAAAGCUACUGGUUCUCUGAGUGUUUUCAUGAUCUCACCAGAUUUUUUUUUUUGUACCAUUCACUCUUUUCUAUUUAAAAGACUUUCAGUCGUAGUCUAAAAAAAAUUCCAAACACUUUAGUUCUGGAAUUUCACUUAUUCUCUACAAGUUAUUAUUACUACAAUUUAGUACAAACUCUCAUUUUCAUAGCUUACUAUUCCAACUUCUCCUAGUAUGUAACCCUUAUGCUCUAUAACUGAAAACAUUCUGGUAAAAGGAAUCAGCAUGCUAAUACUAUUUUAAACACACAUCCUCAUUCUCUUUCCUAUUAUUCAUAAAACUAGAAAAAUAAAAAAACACUUUUCUUCCAGCAGUGGAUAGAAGAAAAAGAAAUUCAAAUUUACAAUUUAAUUGUCAUGGGUCACUCACUUGCAGUGACUUGCUCUAGUUGCUUCUGUUGUUUUAAUGCUAAGGUAAGAUGAUGAAGAUCUGUUUUGAGUAAAGUAAGCUCCAAAUAUGAGCUUUGCACUACUACCAUUCUUAAUUUGUGGAUCAUAUCAAUGUUAGGAGUUGAAGGUUUAAUUUGCAUUUAUUUAAAUAAAUUAUCCCUAGACUAUAACUUAUUUUCCAAAUGUCUCAUUCUUUCUCUCAUGUUUAUCUUUUUUCUUGACAUUCAUUUCUUAUACAUGCAUUCAUCAAUAUUAGCCAUUCUAUGUGGAUAUACUAAUUCAUAUUUACUUCAAUCCAUUAAUAUUUGCAUUCUAAUAAAAUUCAUUGCUUCUCUACAAUAGAUAGUUCAAGCAGAACUUAUAGUUUUGGUCAUUAAUUUCUAGCUACAGAUUGCAGAAGAGAAGCAGCACAUAAUAAAGUAUAUCCUAGUCAUGUUUGCAUAUAAAUACAUACUACAUUGCACAGAAUAAUUGUUACCCUCCUACAAAAGCCCAAAAUAAAUUAAAGAUAUAAAAUCACUGAUAUAAUUCAGUUUUGUAUCUCAAUCACAAUCCAGUUUCUUUCUUUUUCUGAUCUUAUAGCCUGGGGGUUCUCAAAAGAAAACGUUUUAGAAUAAAAUUUUAUUUUCUAUAAACCUAAGGAUAUAGUGCACAUUCAUUGAUAGAACAGGCAUCAACUUCUGUUUCUCUGAUCUCAUUUCACUAGGGCUUACAUUUUCAGCCAUAUCACUAGGCAGAACUGUGAAAGCAAUUCUGUAUUAAUGUUCAAAGAUGCAUUUUUUUUAUUAGAAAAGAAACACAUGUUUUAUACUUAGCCCUAUAUCCUGUAUCUUCCCCUCCCUUCCUCUUUUGGUUUUUCUUGUCCUACAAUAAAAAGCACUAGAAUAUCCACUGGAUGUAUUGUUUAUAAAUUAAGUAACAUAUUGUUCAUAUAAUAAAACGAUUCUCUUCCCCACAUGAUUUCAUCACCACUGUCUCUUCCUAAGUGUGACAAUGUCUUCUGCUUACUUCAACAUUAAAUAUUUUAUAUUUACUUCUAGAUUAAUAAACUGUAGACCCUACCAAUUGUCUCUAUAGAAGAUUACUAGUUUGCUCAUUUAUGUAAUACUCAUAUUCCCCUUUCAUGUACCUUCCUUAAAUUUUAAUAGUUGCAUUUAUCCUUCCAAGUAGCAUUCAAACUUUAAAUAUAAAUACAUCUUCAUCACUUGUUCCCUCAUUUACACAAUACUUCCUAAUUAUUUACUACAUAAGAGAGUGGUCUUAUAACUAUAUUUUUCUCUAUAUCUCUUGUAUCAACUUUCAAACUGGAAUUUUUGACAGAUACCACUUCUAUAUAUAG
Molecule: long non-coding RNA, 3945 nt
Filed under: Homo sapiens (human)
Lineage: Eukaryota; Metazoa; Chordata; Mammalia; Primates; Hominidae
Description: HSALNT0108054
Source: RNAcentral